GAUGAACGCUGGCGGCGUGCCUAAUACAUGCAAGUCGAGCGAAUGGAUUAAGAGCUUGCUCUUAUGAAGUUAGCGGCGGACGGAUGAGUAACACGUGGGUAACCUGCCCAUAAGACUGGGAUAACUCCGGGAAACCGGGGCUAAUACCGGAUAACAUUUUGAACCGCAUGGUUCGAAAUUGAAAGGCGGCUUCGGCUGUCACUUAUGGAUGGACCCGCGUCGCAUUAGCUAGUUGGUGAGGUAACGGCUCACCAAGGCAACGAUGCGUAGCCGACCUGAGUGGGGGAUCGGCCACACGGGGACUGAGACACGGCCCAGACUCCUACGGGAGGCAGCAGUAGGGAAUCUUCCGCAAUGGACGAAAGUCUGACGGAGCAACGCCGCGUGAGUGAUGAAGGCUUUCGGGUCGUAAAACUCUGUUGUUAGGGAAGAACAAGUGCUAGUUGAAUAAGCUGGCACCUUGACGGUACCUAACCAGAAAGCCACGGCUAACUACGUGCCAGCCGCCGCGGUAA
This 515-nucleotide ribosomal RNA is filed under the name uncultured bacterium. RNAcentral's name for it is "partial 16S ribosomal RNA". It matches the Rfam family "Bacterial small subunit ribosomal RNA", at positions 28 to 523 of the family's 1533-position model. The record is from RNAcentral.